AUGGCGGAUGCAAGGAACAAGUUCGCGGAACCGGAUGAAGAGACACCUUUUGGACGUCACUUGAAGGAAGUCACUAGAUACCUGAACAUCGGAGUAUCAAGCUUCACCAGAACCUACAUUGCCACUUUACCAGAAGAGGAGCAUUGGAUGAUUCAAGUUCAAGUUCUAGGAAGGAUGUUCAUACCAGUCACUGAGCCCAUAGAGUUUUCCUUUGAUGCACUAACCUGGAGUCUAGGAAAGAGCAUGGCAGCCCACAUCACCAUGGAACGCAUUGGAGAAGUUUACCACAAGGAUCUCAAGGAUACUAUGUACCAAAUUUGUGGGCGCCUAGAUGAGCAAUGGGAGAUGAUCAGCACCAGGAAGGAUAGAUCAAUUGCAGCUUUCAUCCAGGAGUUAAACCAGCACAUUCGUCGCCAGGAGAACCAGAUGUGUGCAGGCACGAUAGAUCUGAAGAAGGCAAUGACCAAGAUCACGGAGCUGGAAGAAGAACUCAAGUCUACACGCGAUGGAUAUGAGGAAGAAAUGACGACACUCGUGGAGAAGAAUGAUGACAUGAAGAAGAAGCUAAAAGUAUUCAUGGGAUUCACUUGCCCGGAGAACUACAUCAUCAUCGACGACACCUACUCGAACCCCGACGAUAGCGAUGAUGACUAUGUUGAUGAAGCUGGAGCAGAUAUCAUGGAGUCUUUGGUCGAUCAAUUUUUCUAG
Molecule: ribosomal RNA, 708 nt
Filed under: Triticum aestivum (bread wheat)
Lineage: Eukaryota; Viridiplantae; Streptophyta; Magnoliopsida; Poales; Poaceae
Description: partial small subunit ribosomal RNA
Source: RNAcentral